Molecule: ribosomal RNA, 361 nt
Filed under: uncultured bacterium
Lineage: Bacteria
Description: bacterial SSU rRNA
Rfam family: Bacterial small subunit ribosomal RNA
Source: RNAcentral
CAUGCAAGUCGAACGGCACCCCUCUCCGGAGGGAAGCGAGUGGCGAACGGCUGAGUAACACGUGGAGAACCUGCCCCCUCCCCCGGGAUAGCCGCCCGAAAGGACGGGUAAUACCGGAUACCCCGGGGUGCCGCAUGGCACCCCGGCUAAAGCCCCGACGGGAGGGGAUGGCUCCGCGGCCCAUCAGGUAGACGGCGGGGUGACGGCCCACCGUGCCGACAACGGGUAGCCGGGUUGAGAGACCGACCGGCCAGAUUGGGACUGAGACACGGCCCAGACUCCUACGGGAGGCAGCAGUGGGGAAUCUUGCGCAAUGGGGGGAACCCUGACGCAGCGACGCCGCGUGCGGGACGGAGGCCUU